AUGUGUGACCAUCCUCAUCUCAUCCUAUCCUCAGUUCUUAUCCAUCUUCUAAAGAAAAAACAAACAACAACACAUACCGUAUACUACCGAUUCUCUAUAAGAAGUUCAAACUCUGAAGCAUCGGAAUCAUGCAAUAUUAAGCCCUUUAAACGCCCUAGAAAGAAAAUGGUCAGACAUUCUCAGAUUCACGAAAUAGAGGAAAUGGAACCACAGUUUCAUUUGACUAUGGAGUAG
This 234-nucleotide long non-coding RNA is filed under the name Vicia faba (fava bean). The record is from RNAcentral. Lineage: Eukaryota; Viridiplantae; Streptophyta; Magnoliopsida; Fabales; Fabaceae.